Mauremys reevesii (Reeves's turtle) is the source of this 235-nucleotide long non-coding RNA. RefSeq lists it as uncharacterized. NCBI's taxonomy places the organism in Eukaryota, Metazoa, Chordata, Testudines, Geoemydidae. The transcript is spliced from 3 exons. The record is from RefSeq and is a predicted model, not a curated record.
CUGGAGCUGGUUCCACAGCCAGGUCCCCUAAUGGAGAACACUAACACCAGCACCCUCUAUUUUAAAUCUAGCAGGUUCCAGCCUAGGCUCUUCCACUGACUGCAGCAGUAAGUCAUGAGAGGUGGUUUCUUAGUAAACCUUUAGUUGUAGACACUAAAGGAUUGGCUGGCAGCGUGGCAUUUUGGCUUCUCAAUAACCAGUGUGGGCGGAUCAGCAGCACAGUUUGAGACUGGGG